GCAAAUUACUAUGCUUGAUAUUUUGAAUAUUUUAUUAUUUUACUAUGCUUGAUAUUUUUAAUAUUUUAUUAUUUUACUAUGCAGCAUAGUAACCCAAUGUUUUCCUAUAAAUAGAGCCUUUCAGAAUUCAUUUUGAAUUACGAAAAAUCUUUCUUUCUCUCACUCUGCCUAAAAUCUUCUUAACACUCUUUUAAAGUUUUAAAUCUCUAAAAUCUAGGCGAAGUUCUGUUUGUAACGCUAGCCUACGAAGACCUUUUUGGGAAGCUAACAAUUUCGGUUGUUUUAUCAAGACGCAAGGUAAGAGGCCCCAAAUAUAAAUCGUUGAUGAGUAUACGUGGAGCCAACAUGACUGUACAUAUGGGGCUGACCUGAAGGGAGUGGAGUUCUGCUAUGCUAUUUUAUAAAUAAACAAGAAACUUGGUUUUAUUAUAUUUCAUUAAAAGUAUUUUGUGAACUUUAUCAUUUACUUAAAGCUUUAAAAGUAUUUUAUGAACUUUGUAAUUUACAUAAAGCUUUUCAAUUUAUCAGUUGGAUACAUUUUCAUUUCUACGUUAAGGUGUAGUAACGUCACGAAAAUGAUUUAUAAAAGUAUUAAGAUUUGUAUGUAAGAUAAAGUUUUUAUUUAGUUGUGAGUAUUGUGUGGUUUGAGGUUAUAAACAUUAUUUAUGUAUUGUUUAAUAAAGUUUUUGUAAAUUCAGAAUUUCAGUAUUGUCGUAUUU
This is a long non-coding RNA of Humulus lupulus (European hop), 719 nucleotides long. RefSeq lists it as uncharacterized. The record is from RefSeq and is a predicted model, not a curated record. Lineage: Eukaryota; Viridiplantae; Streptophyta; Magnoliopsida; Rosales; Cannabaceae. The transcript has 3 exons.